RNAcentral lists this transfer RNA (78 nucleotides) under Candidatus Altimarinota bacterium. RNAcentral's name for it is "tRNA-Arg". It matches the Rfam family "tRNA". Rfam says of the family: Transfer RNA (tRNA) molecules are approximately 80 nucleotides in length. Lineage: Bacteria; Candidatus Altimarinota. The record is from RNAcentral.
GCCCGAGUAGCUCAGCCUGGAUAGAGCAGCGCCCUUCUAAGGCGAAGGUCACAGGUUCGAAUCCUGUCUCGGGUACCA